UACGUAGGGUGCGAGCGUUGUCCGGAAUUAUUGGGCGUAAAGAGCUCGUAGGCGGUCUGUCGCGUCGAAUGUGAAAACCCGGGGCUCAACUCCGGGCUUGCAUUCGAUACGGGCAGGCUAGAGUUCGGUAGGGGAGUCUGGAAUUCCUGGUGUAGCGGUGAAAUGCGCAGAUAUCGGGAGGAACACCGGUGGCGAAGGCGGUUCUCUGGGCCUUACCUGACGCUGAGGAGCGAAGGUCAGGGGAGCAAACGGG
This 253-nucleotide ribosomal RNA is filed under the name uncultured bacterium. Its description in RNAcentral is "partial 16S ribosomal RNA". It matches the Rfam family "Bacterial small subunit ribosomal RNA", at positions 524 to 776 of the family's 1533-position model. The record is from RNAcentral.